Molecule: long non-coding RNA, 529 nt
Filed under: Monodelphis domestica (gray short-tailed opossum)
Lineage: Eukaryota; Metazoa; Chordata; Mammalia; Didelphimorphia; Didelphidae
Description: lncRNA (ENSMODG00000032388.2)
Source: RNAcentral
GUGCGCAUUUGCCACUUCUGGCCCCGGCCCUGCAUGAGGCAAGCAGUGGUUCCCAGCGGGCACUCUGGGUCUUGGUCUCCCCCGGGGCUGCGGCCUGGGGCGCCCUGGGCUCUGCGCUGGGGUCCCCCUAAUUUAUAAUUAUUUAUUAAAUAGUGAAAUCAGUUGGAGAGAUAAAAGGCACAUAAUCAUACGGACAGCCACCUAGCGAUUAUGAGUUUGCUGCUCACCUAUCUCCAUUCUGUAGCCAAGAGAUUAUACAUAAGUUGCCCACAAGAUAAGUAUAAAGAGAGAGAUGAUGCUUCCUUGAUCCCUAAUUUAUAAUCCUAGUGACAUCACUCAUUCUGGGUGUCCCCAAUUGGACAAUUUGUCUUUACUCUGGGUCACAAGCAUGCCAGAAGUCAAGUGGGAGAAGAGGCAAGUGUCUUCUAAAAGCCAAGUAACUAGGAGGCCUCUGGUAUCAUCCCAUAAUGCUCAUGAGUACCCAGCCAAAGGGUAUUAUUUCCCUUCAGUCCUUCAUUUCUAUUCAUGC